Molecule: long non-coding RNA, 4607 nt
Organism: Glycine soja
Lineage: Eukaryota; Viridiplantae; Streptophyta; Magnoliopsida; Fabales; Fabaceae
Exons: 3
Source: RefSeq, a predicted model, not a curated record
UUGCUCUGUGGAUGAUACCUCAGUUGUUUGCAUACGCCAUAAACUUUUCAAUAGUAAAGUUCCUACAGGCACAGCACAGAGGAAAGUGCUGGUGAUGUUAUGGAUAUCAGUAGUUGUUUUGGUGCUGCACACAUUUUUUAGUUGGUUUCUUAUAUUUAAGCUUGGAUGGGGCCUAAUUGGAGCAGCAAUUACUCUCAACACAUCAUGGCGGGUCAUUGUGAUUGCACAAUUGUUGUACAUUUUCAUCACUAAGUCAGAUGGAGCUUGGAGUGGGUUUACAUGGCUAGCAUUUUCGGACAUGUUUGGUUUUGUAAAGCUUUCUUUGGCUUCAGCUGUUAUGUUAUGCUUGGAGUUUUGGUAUUUGAUGAUACUGGUGGUGAUAACAGGGCGUUUGAAAAAUCCUCUAAUACCAGUUGAUGCCAUAUCUAUCUGUAUGAACAUAAAUGGUUGGGAUGCCAUGAUUGCAAUUGGGUUCAAUGCUGCUAUCAAAAUCUUUUACCAUCUUUCUGUCUGUUCCUUUUCACAAUACAGUUCUAGUCACUACAUAUAUAGAAAACCCCUAUGUUCCUAUAACCUAAUGAAUAGUUGAUUUUGAAAUUUGGAUUGAUUUUCCAUGAAUCACAUUGGGACAUAAUUUCUCACUAAUCACGUGGGGACAUGAUUUGUGUGAGGUCUUGCGUUGCAUUGAGCCCCGUGCAUGAUUUGGCGAUGCCUCUCUGGGUUUUUGAAUUCUUAUAUUUUCUUUUCGUUUUUAUCUUUUGAUGUUUAUUAUGAGCAUUUAAGAUUUUAGAUUUUAUUCUCCAUGACUUCCCAUUGGGUCUUACUGGGCAGAUAAGCAAAUGGAUUUGUUCAGCAGGUUGUGGAAGGCAGUGGCUGGAAAUUAUUGAUGGACUUCCUGUGAAGCCUUAGGUUUUAUUACCCUCGCAUUCAUUAUUUUCUUAUGUGUUUGCUCUGCGUUUGAUGGUGUACGGUAACCUGGUAGUGUCAGAGUUAUUGUGUGUGAUUCUAACAGGCACUAUAAGAGUAUUGGGAGGCACUGGAGUUUUUGCGGACAAUUUGUUAGCAUUUAGGUUUUUGGAGAACUCUUCGACGAUGUUCAGCAGGCUGUGGAAGGCAGUGGCUGGAGAUUAUUGAUGGACUUCCUGUGAAGCCUUAGGUUUUAUUACCCUCACAUUAAUUAUUUUCUUAUGUGUUUGUUCUGCGUUUAUUGGUGUACGGUCACCUGGUAGUGUCAGUUAUUGUGUGAGAUCCUAACAGGAACUAUAAGUAUUGGGAGGCACUGGAGUUUUUGCGGACAAUUUGUUUGUUUCAUUUGGGUUUGGAGAACUCUGAUUUCACAAUUUUUUUCACAAAUUUUUAAUAUGAAAGAUAUUUCUAGGUGUUGAACUGUUUGUGUUCAUUUGUAUGCAGCAUGCCAAGUCCUGAUAUGAGAUUUCUGUUGCCGAUUGUUGAAGAAUAAAUCAUAAAAUUAGAACAGAUAACAGCUCUGGAUGAAUUAAUUUCAUUGAUGAGUUUCUUCUUUCUGUAUUAUUUAUUUCUCUGGAUUUGAUCACGAAACAUUGAAUUGAAUUGUGAGCCUGUUUUCUCUGCAGCAUAUAGUGUUUUGAAUAAUUUUGUGUAGUACCCUUCAUCUCAUCGAGCCUCAUGCGUAAUUUGGUGAUGUUUCUCACUGUUUUUGAAUUCUUGGAUUUUCUUUUUGUUUCUAUCAUUCUUUGUUUAUAGUUAUGAGCCAUUAGUUUUUCAAUUUUAUUCUCCUUGAUUUCCAAUUGGGGCCUUACAGGGAAGAUUGACAAUGGAUGUUGGUAGGAUGUGGAAGCAGUGGUGGUGGAGAUUAUUGACGUACUCACUGUGAAGCCUUAGGUUUUAUUAUCCUUACAUUAUCUUUGUUUUCUUAAUUGUUGUUUCUAAUAGGAACCAUAAGAGAGAGUAAUGAGGAGGCAAGAGAAUUUGUAUACUUUGUUUCUUCUACUGGAGGAAUAUGGGUAGUGUUAAUUUCUUCAUAGAUGAGACACCAAGUUUCCUGGAACUGUUCAACUUACCCGAUUAUAUCAGCAAGAAUUGAGGAACAUUUGAUACAUAAUCUCACAUGAGUUUGUUUUCUUGUUUCUUAGAUGAGGGUUGCUGGUCUGUCUUGUGUUUCCAUGCGUUGAGUCUGAAAAUGAUUUUUAUGUCCUUUGGUUUUACCAGAUGAUAUCUGCAAGAUGUAAUUUCUUUCAUGAGCUUGAUCUAUCUAGUUUCUUAGUUGAUGACUAUUUAUCUAGGUAACCUGUGUUCUGUAGUUCGGAAAAAUGAUCCCCCCCCCCCCCCCCAGGUGUAGCCAAAUUGAAGACAGGAUCUUUGAGAAUGGCAUUUGAUUUUACCAUAUGAGCAAAGAGCUCCGGACUAUUUGGUUUAAUUGGGAUCUUUUUUUCACUGCAUUAAAUCUGUGAUAACUUUGUUUUUGUUUCCUGUACGAUAGAUCAUAGCACACUUGAAUUGAAUUUUGAACUUGUUUUAUGCUGUUUAGUGUUUGAUUUCUGCAAAAUCAAUAAAGCUCUUGCAUAAUUCAGUUAGAAUUCAUGGUUUAUCUUUUCAUUUUUAGACUUUUCAUGACAAGUGUCAACUUUUGAAUAGUGUAGAGAUUAAUCAAUGAAUAUGUGCUGGGUUUGGUAUCACUUUCAUUUGCCAUUCCUAUGUGGAUUAGAUUUUUAUGUCAUCUGUUCACGAGGUCUACUUUUUGUUAAUUCUUAUGAAAAGUUUGGUGUUCAACUUGUGCUUGAAAAUUAAUUAUCUUUAUCAUCAACUUAUCUUUGAUUUCAAAAUUUGCUUAUCUUAAAUUUUCCAUAUUACUCAAUCUGUUUUUUAUAUUGCAUUCAGGAACUUGAUUUCUCAUUUACAGAGAACAAUAAUGAAUUUUUAUACCAUUUCAUUAUUUAGUUAGUUCCUAUAUUUGGAGGUCUCAUUUCUAUUUGAGUUGAUUUCAAUUUCAUGAUUUUUGGCUUUUGCUAUUCUUAUUUUUAGGAUCUAUUAGUGGUUGUAUGAUUUUGCUCUUCCGAUUUUUAAGCUUGUUUUUCUUAAUUUUAUGUUGUGCUUUGGAUUGAAGAUCUCUAGAAACUGAUAUUUCUUUUGACUUUCUAUUUCUACUCUAUUGUAUAAAAAUCAUUUUAAUGUUAUCUUCUGUUGAUCAAGGAGAUUUUGGCUUUUCUCUGCUCAAGUUCCUUCGUUUGCAGCAUGUGCUGAAGUAUGUUCACAAGAUUUUGGUGUGUAUCAAGUUUCCAUCCGUUCUGCAAGCAGCAAAUUAGAAUGGCUAACAAGUCUAGAUGAAUUUGGUUUUUCUUCAAUGGGAUAUUCAUUAUUGUUAGUUUCUGAAUUUGAUCAUGAGGCAUAUGGAUUGAGUUUUAAAACUGUUGCAAUGUAGAGUAGAAGUUUUGUGUUGCGUUCUGCGUAGCAUUGAGCCUCAGCAUGAUUUGGUGAUGUCUACCCUGGAUUCCAAUCUCUCAGAUGUGUCUUCAUUUUGCUUUUAGUGUAUGCGCUUUUCUUGAUUUCUUCUCCAUGAUUUCUGCUUUGGGUCUCACAGGGAAGUCAAGUAGUGGAAAUCAGUAAAUGUGGUUGGUUGUGAAAGGCAGUGGCUAUCUUAUUUACAUGAUUUGGUGAUCUCUACCCUGAAUUUAGAAUUCUUGGAUUGUCUUUUGCUUCUACUUUUCAAUGGUCUAGUAUGAGGGCAUUUCUUGAAUUACUUCUCUGUUGUUUCGUCUUGGGUCUUGUGGUGUGGGAUGGCUGUUGAAGGCUCGAAUCAUCUACUUGCAUUUAUUCAUUUGCCGUAUGCUAGAUUCCAGAUGAGUUUUAUUUCCUGAUGUUGCUGAUUGAAGAUUGAAUCAAUAAAUUAUUAUGCCUUUCUUUUGAAACCGUGGAUUAGAAUCUGGCUACAGAUAAACUUAAUGUCUUAGAUGUUUCAUUUUCUGGAUUUGUUCACAGUGAAUAUGGAUUGAAUUGUGAGCCUGUUUCUUCUGCAGCGGUGGGAGAGUACUAUUUAGGUUCUGGUUUUUAUUACCCUCGAUACAAUCAUUAUCUCAUGUUCAUUAUGGACUGGCUUUCCUUAUUGUGGGUUUUGGAUUUAUUGUUUUUGACAGUGUAGGGUUCUGUCAGAGUUAGACUUGAUGAUUCUUUUUGGGAAAUGUAGGAGGAUAACUGGUUCUUUAUAGGAUUGGCCCGUAUGAUUUGGUGAUGUUGGAUUUCUAUGUGUUUAGUUACUUAUUUACUUCUCAAUUGAUUCUGUGUCAUGAAUUGUGGCUAUAAGACUUUGUUAUUUUGUCUUCUCAAUGGACUACUAGUAUAUUGGAGAGAGAAUAUUGGACAGCCUUUGUCAGGUCAAUUUUUGUUAUCUUCAUCUUUGGUGGUCUGAAGAACUAUGCUGCUCUUUUAUAUGAUCUUUAAGUAUAUCCUCUUAAAAUUGGAUAUCAUUUGUCAGUUCAAAACAGCACAUUGAGGACAGUGAAAAGUAGAAGCAGAUUUUAGGAUUCUUGAUCUAGGUGUUGCUCCACGACUUCAUUAGUUAAAGGCAUGUAGAAGUUUGAAUUGACAUUAAUGGUGAUAUUUCCUAGGAAUAUAAUUUUUUUUGAAGGAUCAAA